Molecule: unclassified non-coding RNA, 85 nt
Filed under: Epilithonimonas hungarica
Lineage: Bacteria; Pseudomonadati; Bacteroidota; Flavobacteriia; Flavobacteriales; Weeksellaceae
Description: Chryseobacterium hungaricum Flavo-1 RNA
Source: RNAcentral
CCCUAGCCCUGAUGGUAGUGGAAAUCCCACAGUUAGCGAUGGGAAAGCAAGGCGCAAGGAAUUGCAACAGACAGCAGGUUCCCGG